This 456-nucleotide ribosomal RNA is filed under the name uncultured Sphingobacteriales bacterium. RNAcentral's name for it is "bacterial SSU rRNA". It matches the Rfam family "Bacterial small subunit ribosomal RNA", at positions 925 to 1382 of the family's 1533-position model. The record is from RNAcentral. Lineage: Bacteria; Pseudomonadati; Bacteroidota; Sphingobacteriia; Sphingobacteriales.
ACAAGCGGUGGAGCAUGUGGUUUAAUUUCGAUGAUACGCGAGGAACCUUACCUGGGCUCAAAUGUAUGUUGACGUAUUCUGAAAGGGGUACUUCUUCGGACAAUAUACAAGGUGCUGCAUGGUUGUCGUCAGCUCGUGCCGUGAGGUGUCGGGUUAAGUCCCAUAACGAGCGCAACCCCUAUCAUUAGUUGCCAUCAGGUCAAGCUGGGGACUCUAAUGAAACUGCCUACGCAAGUAGUGAGGAAGGUGGGGAUGACGUCAAGUCAUCAUGGCCCUUACGGCCUGGGCUACACACGUGCUACAAUGGUCGGUACAAAGGGUUGCCAAGCCGCGAGGUGGAGCUAAUCCCAUAAAACCGAUCGUAGUCCGGAUCGCAGUCUGCAACUCGACUGCGUGAAGUCGGAAUCGCUAGUAAUCGUGAAUCAGAAUGUCACGGUGAAUACGUUCCCGGGCCUU